GAUGAACGCUGGCGGCGUGCCUAAUACAUGCAAGUCGAGCGAACGGACGAGAAGCUUGCUUCUCUGAUGUUAGCGGCGGACGGGUGAGUAACACGUGGAUAACCUACCUAUAAGACUGGGAUAACUUCGGGAAACCGGAGCUAAUACCGGAUAAUAUUUUGAACCGCAUGGUUCAAAAGUGAAAGACGGUCUUGCUGUCACUUAUAGAUGGAUCCGCGCUGCAUUAGCUAGUUGGUAAGGUAACGGCUUACCAAGGCAACGAUGCAUAGCCGACCUGAGAGGGUGAUCGGCCACACUGGAACUGGGACACGGGCCAGACUCCUACGGGAGGCAGCAGUAGGGAAUCUUCCGCAAUGGGCGAAAGCCUGACGGAGCAACGCCGCGUGAGGGAUGAAGGUCUUCGGAUCGUAAAACUCUGUUAUUAGGGAAGAACAUAUGUGUAAGUAAAUGUGCACAUCUUGACGGUACCUAAUCAGAAAGCCACGGCUAACUACGUGC
Molecule: ribosomal RNA, 498 nt
Filed under: uncultured bacterium
Lineage: Bacteria
Description: partial 16S ribosomal RNA
Rfam family: Bacterial small subunit ribosomal RNA
Source: RNAcentral